RNAcentral lists this non-coding RNA (77 nucleotides) under Serratia symbiotica SCt-VLC. The record is from RNAcentral. Lineage: Bacteria; Pseudomonadati; Pseudomonadota; Gammaproteobacteria; Enterobacterales; Yersiniaceae.
GAGAGCUGGAUGCGUUGAAAGGUGCACGUCCGGUUCGGAGAGGAGAGGCAGGGAAAUCGCCCUGCCUCUUACUCUAC